This 203-nucleotide long non-coding RNA is filed under the name Elaeis guineensis (African oil palm). RNAcentral's name for it is "long non-coding RNA (EGUI_LNC007131)". Lineage: Eukaryota; Viridiplantae; Streptophyta; Magnoliopsida; Arecales; Arecaceae. The record is from RNAcentral.
UCCCCUUCACUCGCGAUGAGGACAACACCGCUACCAUGUCUAGUUGGACCACUCUUUCCACCAGUGGCGGAGCUUCUGGUUCAUAUAUAAAUAGUGCUCCAUCGGCUCCUCUGCCAACAGCAGCCUGCCCACGUUGGACUCAUCCGAGUCUGAGCGGCUGGUGAGUAUGGUGUGGACUAUUUUCAAAUCUCUCUCUUCUCCCC